This 405-nucleotide ribosomal RNA is filed under the name uncultured bacterium. RNAcentral describes it as "bacterial SSU rRNA". It matches the Rfam family "Bacterial small subunit ribosomal RNA", at positions 356 to 773 of the family's 1533-position model. The record is from RNAcentral.
GGGGAAUAUUGCACAAUGGGCGCAAGCCUGAUGCAGCGACGCCGCGUGAGGGAUGGAGGCCUUCGGGUUGUAAACCUCUUUUAUCGGGGAGCAAGCGAGAGUGAGUUUACCCGUUGAAUAAGCACCGGCUAACUACGUGCCAGCAGCCGCGGUAAUACGUAGGGUGCAAGCGUUAUCCGGAAUUAUUGGGCGUAAAGGGCUCGGAGGCGGUUCGUCGCGUCCGGUGUGAAAGUCCAUCGGUUAACGGUGGAUCCGCGCCGGGUACGGGCGGGCUUGAGUGCGGUAGGGGAGACUGGAAUUCCCGGUGUAACGGUGGAAUGUGUAGAUAUCGGGAAGAACACCAAUGGCGAAGGCAGGUCUCUGGGCCGUUACUGACGCUGAGGAGCGAAAGCGUGGGGAGCGAAC